Molecule: small RNA, 107 nt
Filed under: Marmota monax (woodchuck)
Lineage: Eukaryota; Metazoa; Chordata; Mammalia; Rodentia; Sciuridae
Source: RNAcentral
GCUGGGCAUCAUGGCACAUGCCUGUAAUCCCAGCAGCUCAGGAUGCUGAGGCAGGAGGAUCGCCAGUUCAAAGCUAGCCUCAGCAACUCAGCGAGACCCUGUCUCUA